Non-coding RNA from Acanthosepion pharaonis, 115 nucleotides. Lineage: Eukaryota; Metazoa; Mollusca; Cephalopoda; Sepiida; Sepiidae. The record is from the annotation of a GenBank genome assembly.
UCCGGUCAUAUCCCGUUGAAACACCUGUUCCCGUACGACCACCGAAGUUAAGCAACAUGGAGUUGGGUCAGUGGAGCCUAGAUGAGUGACCGUUUGAGAAUAACAUGUGUUGUAA